This is a long non-coding RNA of Ornithodoros turicata, 769 nucleotides long. RefSeq lists it as uncharacterized. NCBI's taxonomy places the organism in Eukaryota, Metazoa, Arthropoda, Arachnida, Ixodida, Argasidae. The transcript is spliced from 3 exons. The record is from RefSeq and is a predicted model, not a curated record.
UUCCCCUUCCGCUCGAAACCGUGUUUCCAUGUUGUCUGAUGUUGUCGCGGCGCACGUGGUUUUUCCACGCUUGCUGUAGCUAUGGACCGCGAAAUGGAGCUUCUUUUGGAACGCAUAAAAGACUUCAGGUACCUCUACGACAAAAGUGAGCCGAACUUCAAGGAUACACAGAUGAAAGAAGCCAGGUGGGAAAUGAUCGGCAAGGAAUUCGGAAUGUCGGGUAGGUCGUGGUUUCCGUGUUUUUGUUCACAUUCGGUGAUGUCAGGGGAACGCGUGGAGCAGCUGGAGACUCAAGCCAUUAAACUUGAUACUCCGAUGUGAUAUACGUUCUUUUCAGGAGCAACAUGUGAAAAGAAGUGGCGCAACGCGCGGGAUCACUGUGUGAAGAUACGGAACAAGCUAGCAUCUGCAUCCCGUAGUGGCAUGGCGGCGGCUGCGCUGCCGGCAGUGAAAUGGCCUUAUUUUGAGGUUGUUUCAAGUAUGUUGGGGCCAUUACCAUCGGGGUCGUAAGUACAUGGAAACAGUCAAUUUUUCAGACAAAUCUGUUCUGCUGAAAUUAUCGUUUGCCGCAGGUAUAUUACGAAUGUUCGCCCCGAAAUGGUGCCACCCAGAAAUACUGGGGUUUCUUGUAGCCAGCCUUCCCGGCCACCUUCUCCUCCAAGUGCAACUGCACAGGAAACAGCUAGGGACCUGCUAGAGUCGAUGUACAAUGGGAGUUCAAGCAUCAGCACCUCUGCUGAUGAUUAUGAACCGUAAGUUGACACACAAC